GAUGAACGCUGGCGGCGUGCUUAACACAUGCAAGUCGAACGAAGCAUUUGCGACAGAUUUUUUCGGAAUGAAGUUGCUUAUGACUGAGUGGCGGACGGGUGAGUAACGCGUGGGUAACCUGCCUUGUACUGGGGGAUAGCAGCUGGAAACGUCUGGUAAUACCGCAUAAGCGCACAAUGUUGCAUGACAUGGUGUGAAAAAGUCCGGUGGUAUAAGAUGGACCCGCGUCUGAUUAGCUAGUUGGUGAGAUAACAGCCCACCAAGGCGACGAUCAGUAGCCGACCUGAGAGGGUGACCGGCCACACUGGGACUGAGACACGGCCCAGACUCCUACGGGAGGCAGCAGUGGGGAAUAUUGCACAAUGGAGGAAACUCUGAUGCAGCGAGGCCGCGUGAGUGAAGAAGUAAUUCGUUAUGUAAAGCUCUAUCAGCAGGGAAGAUAGUGACGGUACCUGACUAAGAAGCCCCGGCUAAAUACGUG
RNAcentral lists this ribosomal RNA (481 nucleotides) under uncultured bacterium. Its description in RNAcentral is "partial 16S ribosomal RNA". It matches the Rfam family "Bacterial small subunit ribosomal RNA", at positions 28 to 507 of the family's 1533-position model. The record is from RNAcentral.